This 500-nucleotide ribosomal RNA is filed under the name uncultured bacterium. Its description in RNAcentral is "partial 16S ribosomal RNA". It matches the Rfam family "Bacterial small subunit ribosomal RNA", at positions 30 to 523 of the family's 1533-position model. The record is from RNAcentral.
AUUGAACGCUGGCGGCAGGCCUAACACAUGCAAGUCGAGCGGAUGAGAGGAGCUUGCUCUUCGAUUCAGCGGCGGACGGGUGAGUAAUGCCUAGGAAUCUGCCUAGUAGUGGGGGACAACGUUUCGAAAGGAACGCUAAUACCGCAUACGUCCUACGGGAGAAAGUGGGGGAGCUUCGGACCUCACGCUAUUAGAUGAGCCUAGGUCGGAUUAGCUAGUUGGUAGGGUAACGGCCUACCAAGGCGACGAUCCGUAACUGGUCUGAGAGGCUGAUAAGUCACACUGGAACUGAGACACGGUCCAGACUCCUACGGGAGGCAGCAGUGGGGAAUAUUGGACAAUGGGCGAAAGCCUGAUCCAGCCAUGCCGCGUGUGUGAAGAAGGCCCUCGGGUCGUAAAGCACUUUAAGUUGGGAGGAAGGGCUUACAGCGAAUACCUGUGAGUUUUGACGUUACCGACAGAAUAAGCACCGGCUAACUUCGUGCCAGCAGCCGCAGUAA